UCGAACGAUGAAGAUUAUUAGACUUCUUCGGAAUGAAAAUAAUUGGAUUAGUGGCGGACGGGUGAGUAACGCGUGAGUAACCUGCCUUACACAAGGGGAUAGCCGUUGGAAACGACGAAUAAUACCCUAUGAAACUAUCACUUCGCAUGAAGCGAUAGUCAAAGUGUUAGCGGUGUAAGAUGGACUUGCGUCUGAUUAGCUAGUUGGUGAGAAAAAAGCCCACCAAGGCAACGAUCAGUAGCCGGCUUGAGAGAGUGUACGGCCACAUUGGGACUGAGACACGGCCCAGACUCCUACGGGAGGCAGCAGUGGGGAAUUUUGCACAAUGGGGGAAACCCUGAUGCAGCGACGCCGCGUGAUUUAGAAGGCCUUCGGGUUGUAAAAAUCUUUUGUAUAGGAAGAAAAUGACAGUACUAUACGAAUAAGGUCCGGCUAAUUACGUGCCAGCAGCCGCGGUAAUACGUAAGGACCGAGCGUUGUCCGGAAUCAUUGGGCGUAAAGGGUACGUAGGCGGGUCAUUAAGUUAGAAGUCAAAGGCUAUAGCUCAACUAUAGUAAGCUUCUAAAACUGGAGACCUUGAGUAAUGGAAGGGAAAGUGGAAUUCCUAGUGUAGCGGUGGAAUGCGCAGAUAUUAGGAGGAAUACCGGUGGCGAAGGCGACUUUCUGGCCAUUAACUGACGCUGAGGUACGAAAGCGUGGGUA
RNAcentral lists this ribosomal RNA (702 nucleotides) under uncultured Eubacteriales bacterium. Its description in RNAcentral is "bacterial SSU rRNA". It matches the Rfam family "Bacterial small subunit ribosomal RNA", at positions 62 to 767 of the family's 1533-position model. Lineage: Bacteria; Bacillati; Bacillota; Clostridia; Eubacteriales. The record is from RNAcentral.